This 440-nucleotide ribosomal RNA is filed under the name uncultured bacterium. Its description in RNAcentral is "partial 16S ribosomal RNA". It matches the Rfam family "Bacterial small subunit ribosomal RNA", at positions 338 to 795 of the family's 1533-position model. The record is from RNAcentral.
CCUACGGGUGGCAGCAGUGGGGAAUAUUGCACAAUGGGGGAAACCCUGAUGCAGCGACGCCGCGUGAGUGAAGAAGUAAUUCGUUACGUAAAGCUCUAUCAGCAGGGAAGCAAAUGACGGUACCUGUGUAAGAAGCCCCGGAUAACUACGUGCCAGCAGCCGCGGCAAGACGUCGGGGGCAAGCGUUAUCCGGAUUUACUGGGUGUAACGGGAGCGUAGUCGGUGCGACAAGUUUGGAGUGAAAUGCCGCAGCUUAACUGCGGAACUGCUUUGGAUACUGGCGAACUAGAGUGCGGGUGGGGUAGGCGGAAUGCGUGGUGUAGCGGUGAAAUGCGUAGAUAUUAGGAAGAACACCGGUGGCGAAGGCGGCUUACUGGACCGUAACUGACGUUGAGGCACGAAAGCGUGGGGAGCAAACAGGAUUAGAUACCCUUGUAGUC